RNAcentral lists this ribosomal RNA (427 nucleotides) under uncultured bacterium. RNAcentral describes it as "partial 16S ribosomal RNA". It matches the Rfam family "Bacterial small subunit ribosomal RNA", at positions 355 to 774 of the family's 1533-position model. The record is from RNAcentral.
UGGGGAAUAUUGCACAAUGGGCGCAAGCCUGAUGCAGCCAUGCCGCGUGUAUGAAGAAGGCCUUCGGGUUGUAAAGUACUUUCAGCGGGGAGGAAGGUGUUGAGGUUAAUAACCUCAGCAAUUGACGUUACCCGCAGAAGAAGCACCGGCUAACUCCGUGCCAGCCGCCGCGGUAAUACGGAGGGUGCAAGCGUUAAUAGGAAUUACUGGGCGUAAAGCGCACGCAGGCGGUCUGUCAAGUCGGAUGUGAAAUCCCCGGGCUCAACCUGGGAACUGCAUUCGAAACUGGCAGGCUAGAGUCUUGUAGAGGGGGGUAGAAUUCCAGGUGUAGCGGUGAAAUGCGUAGAGAUCUGGAGGAAUACCGGUGGCGAAGGCGGCCCCCUGGACAAAGACUGACGCUCAGGUGCGAAAGCGUGGGGAGCAAACA